Molecule: ribosomal RNA, 496 nt
Filed under: uncultured bacterium
Lineage: Bacteria
Description: partial 16S ribosomal RNA
Rfam family: Bacterial small subunit ribosomal RNA
Source: RNAcentral
GAUGAACGCUGGCGGCGUGCCUAAUACAUGCAAGUCGAGCGAACGGACGAGAAGCUUGCUUCUCUGAUGUUAGCGGCGGACGGGUGAGUAACACGUGGAUAACCUACCUAUAAGACUGGGAUAACUUCGGGAAACCGGAGCUAAUACCGGAUAAUAUUUUGAACCGCAUGGUUCAAAAGUGAAAGACGGUCUUGCUGUCACUUAUAGAUGGAUCCGCGCUGCAUUAGCUAGUUGGUAAGGUAACGGCUUACCAAGGCAACGAUGCAUAGCCGACCUGAGAGGGUGAUCGGCCACACUGGACCGGGGAACCGGUCCGGACUCCUACGGGAGGCGGCAGUAGGGAAUCUUCCGCAAUGGGCGAAAGCCUGACGGAGCAACGCCGCGUGAGUGAUGAAGGUCUUCGGUUCGUAAAACUCUGUUAUUAGGGAAGAACAUAUGUGUAAGUAACUGUGCACAUCUUGACGGUACCUAAUCAGAAAGCCACGGCUAACUACGU